This 193-nucleotide unclassified non-coding RNA is filed under the name uncultured fungus. RNAcentral's name for it is "sequence contains ITS2". The record is from RNAcentral. RNAcentral also lists the same sequence under 1 other name. Lineage: Eukaryota; Fungi.
UCUGUAUCUCCAGGCUUCCCCGGGAGGGGAGGGCCAGGGUGUUGGGCUGUGCCGUCCCCCCGUGUUGUCGGUGGGGGAUGGGCCUCAAACAGAGUGGCAGUACCGCUUCCGGUCCUGAGAGCAUGAUGGGGCGUUGUCACCGGCUCUGGGGGACUGGAUCCGGGUUGCUGGCCAGGCCGUCUUGAUUCUAUCC